UAGAUGUUUCAGUGAAUUUACAAUGCUGAGUGCACUUGAAACCUAAAAUCAGAGAGAAUGGCACUGCUGCUCUAAUAAGACCUGGGGAAAUCAGAAACCUGGUUGUCUCCUAUGAGCACUGCUUUCCAGAAAACUCUCUCAACCAGUAGACUUCAUUCCGUUUAUGCCUAAAGAGAAAAUACGUUGAGCAAACCAAGGAAGGCUCUGGCAUAAACUAGAGCUGGUGACAUGGGACAUCAAACUAAGCUGUGAUUACUUCAUCAGAGAUUACCUUUCUAGAGGAUUCUGAAAAGGAUACUGAUGUUUAUUUUUGGAAUAGGCUUUCUUCUGAGAGAAGAGUUGCUUGAAAUCAUGCAGAUGUAUUUUAAGAAUGUACUCAAGAGAGGCACCCAAGAAGACAUUUUGUAUGGAGAUGGGCAGAAAAUGAAGUGAGACUUGAACUUGGAGAGAAAACAAUGUCCUUUUCUUUUGAAGAGGAUCAGGAAGCUGAAAGAAGGAUUCCUGACAGUCAGGCUAAGCUGGACACCUCUAUGGAAACCUGCCAGGAGCUCUUCAAGAAUAAUGAAGUAGAGCCUAGAACCAUGGACUUUAAGAAUAGAUAAUAGCAGUUAUAAACUACUUUUUCUUUCUAUUUCCAUGUUCUCUAAGUUUUCCAAAUCUUAAAUCUUAUUAGAAGGUGCAGUCCUAUCUCUUUUGUGUUAUGGAAGAUAAGAGAACAUAAUGUCUCCUUCCAUCCAUUAAAGGUCAUUGAGGAGCAUUAAGAUGAUUACUUUUGGCUCCAAAUCCCAACUUCGUGUCUAUAUCACAAAGUUUGGCAGCAUGGAAGGCAGUAUCAGAGGGGAAAAAACUUGAGUUUAAUUUUUUUUUUUUCUGGAAAAAACUGAGGCAGUUCCCAAGAAGUUAACAGAAAUAGCUGGGAAGCCAGUUUCUGAAAUUCAGGCGGCUCGGGACCUUGACAAAAUAAUUUGAUGGAAAACAGAUACACAAAGUCAUUCUAUAGACAUAGGAUAGUGAAGUUCAAGGACAAACAGCAUUAUUACACAGAAUCUAUUGUCUGAAGACAAUAGAUUUUUUUUUGGAAUUUUUUUGUAAUUCUGAAGCAUCCACUCUGUUAACUGUUCUUUUAGCUUCUUUGGCAUAGGGGAUGAACUAGAAAUCUUCCCUUGGCUUAG
RNAcentral lists this long non-coding RNA (1172 nucleotides) under Canis lupus familiaris (dog). RNAcentral's name for it is "lncRNA (ENSCAFG00845018228.1)". Lineage: Eukaryota; Metazoa; Chordata; Mammalia; Carnivora; Canidae. The record is from RNAcentral.